UUCUAUUGCAGUAAAAUUCGUCCGAAAGAACAUAUAGUCCAUAAUUUGUGUUAAAUAACUCUAAGAAAGCGGUUUUCGUCGUAAUCAAAACAUGAAUCAAAGCAAAUAUGGUUCGUUCACUCGGCAUAAUAGUUUGAAAAAUAAACAACCUGGUGGCAAAUUGACCAAACCUGAUUGGAAUCUCUGUACAUUACGACCUUUCCAAAAAAAUUUUUACAGAGAAAAUCCUAAUGUUACUAAAAGAUCAUCUUUCUUUCAGGUGGAAGUCGACGCUUUUAGAAGAACUAAUGAUAUAACUGUACGAGGAGAAAAUAUUCCAAAACCUUUAACUACAUUUGAUGAAGGGAAUUUUCCAGGUAAGAAUUU
RNAcentral lists this unclassified non-coding RNA (366 nucleotides) under Centruroides sculpturatus (bark scorpion). RNAcentral describes it as "aTP-dependent RNA helicase DBP2-like, transcript variant X3". Lineage: Eukaryota; Metazoa; Arthropoda; Arachnida; Scorpiones; Buthidae. The record is from RNAcentral.